RNAcentral lists this ribosomal RNA (805 nucleotides) under uncultured Basidiomycota. Its description in RNAcentral is "LSU rRNA". It matches the Rfam family "Eukaryotic large subunit ribosomal RNA", at positions 438 to 1236 of the family's 3401-position model. The record is from RNAcentral. Lineage: Eukaryota; Fungi; Basidiomycota.
UGUCGUCCAGGGAUCAACCUUGUUUUUGCUUGGUGCACUUUCUGGUUUGACAGGUCAGCAUCAAUUUUGACCAUUGGAAAAAGGCUAAGGGAAUGUGGCAUCUUGGAUGUGUUAUAGCCCUUGGUCGCAUACAAUGGUUGGGAUUGAGGAACUCAGCACGCCGAAAGGCCGGGUUUUAAACCACGUUCGUGCUUAGGAUGCUGGCAAUAUGGCUUUAAUCGACCCGUCUUGAAACACGGACCAAGGAGUCUAACAUGCCUGCGAGUGUUUGGGUGGAAAACCCGAGCGCGUAAUGAAAGUGAAAAGUUGAGAUCCCUGUCGUGGGGAGCAUCGACGCCCGGACCAGACCUUUUGUGACGGUUCCGCGGUAGAGCAUGUAUGUUGGGACCCGAAAGAUGGUGAACUAUGCCUGAAUAGGGUGAAUCCAGAGGAAACUCUGGUGGAGGCUCGUAGCGAUUCUGACAUGCAAAUCGAUCGUCAAAUUUGGGUAUAGGGGCGAAAGACUAAUCGAACCAUCUAGUAGCUGGUUCCUGCCGAAGUUUCCCUCAGGAUAGCAGAAACUCAUAUCAGAUUUAUGUGGUAAAGCGAAUGAUUAGAGGCCUUGGGGUUGAAACAACCUUAACCUAUUCUCAAACUUUAAAUAUGUAAGAACAAGCCGUCUCUUGAUUGGACCGCUUGGCGAUUGAGAGUUUCUAGUGGGCCAUUUUUGGUAAGCAGAACUGGCGAUGCGGGAUGAACCGAACGCGAGGUUAAGGUGCCGGAAUUCACGCUCAUCAGACACCACAAAAGGUGUUAGUUCAUCUAG